This 461-nucleotide ribosomal RNA is filed under the name uncultured bacterium. RNAcentral's name for it is "bacterial SSU rRNA". It matches the Rfam family "Bacterial small subunit ribosomal RNA", at positions 28 to 507 of the family's 1533-position model. The record is from RNAcentral.
GAUGAACGCUGGCGGCGUGCCUAACACAUGUAAGUCGAACGUGAGGGCUGAGCAAUCGGCCUGAAAGUGGCGAACGGGUGAGUAACACGUGGGUAACCUACCCUUGAGUGGGGGAUAACGACUGGAAACGGUCGCUAAUACCGCAUACGACCUUCGAUGCGAGAGCAUGGAAGAUGAAAGAUUUAUUGCUCAAGGAGGGGCCCGCGGUCGAUUAGCUAGUUGGUGGGGUAAUGGCCUACCAAGGCGAUGAUCGAUAGCUGGUCUGAGAGGAUGAUCAGCCACACGGGAACUGAGACACGGUCCCGACUCCUACGGGGGGCAGCAGUGAGGAAUAUUGCACAAUGGGCGAAAGCCUGAUGCAGCAACGCCGCGUGGAGGAUGAAGGUCUUUGGAUUGUAAACUCCUUUUCUGUGGGACGAGAGAGGACGGUACCACAGGAAUAAGUCACGGCUAACUACGUG